GUCCACGCCGUAAACGUUGGGCGCUAGGUGUGGGGGUCCUUCCACGACCUCCGUGCCGCAGCUAACGCAUUAAGCGCCCCGCCUGGGGAGUACGGCCGCAAGGCUAAAACUCAAAGGAAUUGACGGGGGCCCGCACAAGCGGCGGAGCAUGCGGAUUAAUUCGAUGCAACGCGAAGAACCUUACCAAGGCUUGACAUGCACGGGUAAGUUCCAGAGAUGGUUCCCCCGCAAGGUCCGUGCACAGGUGGUGCAUGGUUGUCGU
RNAcentral lists this ribosomal RNA (262 nucleotides) under uncultured bacterium. RNAcentral's name for it is "partial 16S ribosomal RNA". It matches the Rfam family "Bacterial small subunit ribosomal RNA", at positions 793 to 1055 of the family's 1533-position model. The record is from RNAcentral.